GGAGAAGGUGACUGAGCUUCUGGCGAAGAAGGAGACAGGGAAGAAGGUGGCUGAGCUUCUGGAGAAAAAGAAGACUGGGAAGAAGGUGACUGGGCUUUUGGAGGAGAAGAAAUCUGGAAAGAAGGUGGUUGAGCUUCAAGAAGAGAAAAAGACUCGGAAGAAGGCGACCGAGUUUCAGGAAGAGAAGAAGACUGGGAAGAAGACGAUG
This 208-nucleotide long non-coding RNA is filed under the name Ananas comosus (pineapple). RNAcentral describes it as "long non-coding RNA (ACOM_LNC028145)". The record is from RNAcentral. Lineage: Eukaryota; Viridiplantae; Streptophyta; Magnoliopsida; Poales; Bromeliaceae.